CGGGCUUCCAGUCCUCUCUCUAGCAAUAGAGACUGGGUGUUAUCAAUCUUUACAAUCUGCUAAAUGAUGGUGUUACAAAUGGAAACAAAUGUGUGCUUUUUUUUCAUGGUGUCCUGUGUGGGAACCCAGCUGUCCGUCGCCCGCGGACUCUGCAGGUGUAGAGACCGCCCGGAGACAUGGGUGGGGGGCAUAUUCAUGAAGAAUGCUGCAAUUACUAGAUGAAUAGGUUUUUAAUUGUAGCCUUAACUGAGUAGACCGAUUGAACUCAAUCAUACGGUAAAUGGCCAGACCUGUCACAACAAUAUCGUUUAUUUUAUUGGUGAUUUCUUUAUAUUUUUUAAAUUCCAGUUCAUUUAUAAUCUCGAUUAAAUAAAGUAGCCAACCUAAGCAUUCUGCUCAUUCCAACUGUGCAUAAUCAUGUCCAACCCCAAAUCAAAGUGCUUAUUUUUUUGAUUUGCUUAAGUAGAAAUAUUACGUUUUUAUCAAAUGGAAAAGUGCAUAAUAAUAUAAAAUCUUAUUAUAAACUAAAGUUGCAUCAUCAUAUGGCCGUUCAACAAAGCGUAUCCUAUAUAGGCAAAGGAAUCAACUAAUUUGGCAGCUUGAUUUUUAUUUUAUUUCACCUUUAUUUAACCAGGUAGGCCAGUUGAGAACAAGUUCUCAUUUACAACCGCGACCUGGCCAAGAUAAAGCAAAGCAGUGCGACAAAAACAACAACACAGAGUUACACAUGGCAUAAAUAAUCGUACAGUCAAUAAUACAAUAGAAAAAUCUGUAUACAGUGUGUGCAAAUGAAGUAAGGAGGUAAGGCAAUAAAUAGGCCAAAAGUGGCGAAGUAAUUACAAUGUAGCAGUAUUUUGUAGUAUUGUAUGCAAAUUAUGACUUGAAUUGUAGGAUAAAAAAAGUUGAAAUCUAUUAAAACUUGCAUUUCAUUAGAAGACGAAUCUCAUGGAACCACAUAGCUUAGUAUUAAAACUUGCAUUUCAUUAGAAGACGAAUCUCAUGGAACCACAUAGCUUAGCCUAUGCAAUAAAUCUUUCAAUUUACAAAUUGCAUAUUUCACACAUUAAGCCUAAAUCCUCCCGUUCCUCUUAAAUUAGUCUUCCAAUGAAUCAUUUUACAGAUUCCUUCACAUGUUCCCACUGUGCGCUGGGCGAUGUGUUGAGUGCGGCAUUGAAAUAGCAUUGCUCUGCUCUGAACUGAAUCUUCCCCAGAUUGUCCAAACAAGCCGAAGCAGACUGGCAGGCGCCAGUGCCAUGACGUCACCCAUUCAUGAAGUCCCUGACGGCUGUCAACCUGGCGCCGCGCGGGCGGUGUGCAUGGAGACCACAAACAACGGGCUUGCACUCCCCCAUUCACCUGCGCAGCGCAAACCCUGAGAACUGGCUGCCCAAGAUCGGCAUUCAUUUUCAUUUAUCAAGUUAAACCACUCUGAAGAGAUUACCGCCCCACACCUGCAAACUGCCAUUGUCACUAGCUUGCUCAAAUUCCAAAGGCUAGUGAAAUACAAAAAGACAGAAGGCUUUGAAUUUGCGUUGAUAGUUCCUAAAUUCCUUCAGUUGGGUCCGCCCCUUAAUUUGUCAAAUAAAAUUCCUCAAGUAGAACGUUGUAUCCAGGCAUAGGCUACAUUGUAUCUUUCACACAUACAUAAAACACAUUACAAUGUUGCUAUUUCAGUGUCUGUCUCUGGCUGGCUGUAGAGUCCAACAGAAUGAGAGGUCUGCAUGAUACAUUUAAAAAAAAAAAAAUACAUUGAUAUUGUGCUGUUUGCAACAAACUUGCAAUUCAUUUGGAGACAGAGAACAAAACAAGAGAAGCGAUGAAAAUACAAAGUGAAAACAGAAAAUUGUUAGCAAAAAAAGCUAUGGUUUGAAUGAGUUUUUUUUAACCAAAGCAUGCAUCCUUAUAAUGUGCAUGUAAUUGAUUAUGGAAGUGUAAUUAAUAUGUCAGAUUUUCUCCCCUGGACAACCCUCUUUUAAACAAAUUCCCUGCUUUUGCUUAUACUAGUUGUGUAAAACUCUUCUUCGCCAGCAUGCAGAGAGCUGUGCCUGAGGAGAGUGACAUCCUGUUCUUCAUCGUCCUAUUUCUCAUGUCAUGUUGGGGAUGGGGAGCGCCAGUGGUCUGAAACAAUGGGAGUGCAGAGCAAGGAUUGUGGGGGGAAAUCUCGUCUGGAGCCAGUGAGUCUGGAGCGCCCCCUGCUCUCUCAUCCAGCUUUUGUUCAGCUGCAACAGCUAUCAGCACUUCCUACUGACACCAACAAUAACUCCACACAGCUGGGCACUUUUAAUCUUGUUUACUGCACAUCAAGGCGAGGGGGAGGGCCAGAGGAGGGGGACAGAGAAAAGUGAAACAGAUUAGAUCCUGAUUUUAACUGACAGAGAGGAGGUUCUUUCUGUAGUGAUUCAUUACAACUGGCUACUACUAAUUGAGGUGUAAAAAAUGUUUUCUCGCCCUUCUCGCUCACUUCCCUGUUGUUGGAGCCUCCCAGAUUUGUUGUGACACACUGUGGUUUGGAAGCAGUUGGUUGUUAGUUGAAUUAUAUGAAUUGUCAGUGGUGGAAAUGUGGGGACUUUUGAUCUCUCAACCUCUUUAUUUCAGAUUUUUUUUUGAGGGAGUAACACCCGGCUGCAGACUGUGGACAGGAAACAGAGAGCGAGAGAAGCUAAAAGCAUCCACCAUGCUUCCCAGCCGAAACAGUUUGGAAGAGUUUGUGCAUAUAUUCUGACAACAUUUUUGGAGUUUUUUUGCUGUUUGAGCACACAAAUAUUUUUCUGGAGGCAAGCUGAAGUUCGGAGCCGAAGUCUACACCCCUUCGUCAGUGAUUGGUCAACAGUAGGGAUUCUUCAAUAAUGUCUUUUGUUGUCAUUCAACGAGAGACAACUCUUUUUCAUGCACAUUUUUUCAUUGAGAAAUACUGCACCAAACAUCUUAGUUAGAUGUAAAAUUGUGCUACUAAGAUCUCUGCAAAAACUUCAAAUUAAUGACAGAUUUCUUGAUUCAUUCAGACUAUUUUGAGGAAGUGAUUACUGGGUACGGCUUCUCAAAAUGGACAAACAGUACUUCUGCCGUUUUUUUCUCCUUAUUUCAAGCAAGGUAUUAUGGAGUAUGCGAGGGAGUAUGCGAGCACACUAGUUCGGUUUGGCUUGUCGAGUUCAGCUAGGCGCCAGCCGAACUGUAGCAUUCUUAAGCAACAGAUGUGAAGUGGGAGAGGAACGGUUUCAAAAUCAGAUUUGAAGACUGCUUAUAGCCCAGAGACAGAAAAGAUACACACAACCUACUCAAGAAGCUUAAAGAUUUUCUUCUUUUUAUUAGAUGAGCUCAACAAUGAGGCCGUGUCUCUUCUGCUGCACCCAUAGAAAGUCCCCGGGAAGUGCAGGGGGUGCAGGGGCUUCCCUUUAGAGGGACCAGCUGUUCACAGCUGGCCAACGGCACCACAGCGCCUCAUCCUCAACCUGCCUGAGAUUAACAGCCAGUCGGCAGCUGUCACCCCCUAAAGAGACAGGGAAGGAAAGAUGAAGAAAGAGAGGGAAAACGAUGGAGAGAGACAGACAGAGAGGCCUCCCCUCUCAUCACAUUCCGUCUCAGUCCUCCUCUGGAGAAAAAAGGGAAUUGCCCAUGUGGAGAGCACCAAUAAACUAGAACUGGGGCGGCAGGUAGCCUAGUGCUUAGAGCAUUGGGCCAGUAACCAAAAGGUUGCUAGAUCAAAUCCCUGAGCUAACAAGGUUCUGCCCCUGAACAAACCCAUUGUUCCUAGGCUGUCAUUGUAAAUAAGGAUUUGUUCUGAAACUGACUUGCCUAGUUAAAUAAAAGCUGUAACUGCCCCUGUGCUCACCACAAUAGUACUUUAGUGUUCAGAACUUUUGAACAAACCCCCUUAAAACCCCACAGUUGAUCUGCUCACUCACACGCAGAGCAAACAACCUUCAUCCAGGCUGACCUACAUAGCUUGAAUUUUUACACAUCAUCCAUUUAAUCAGCUGGACACACAUUACACAGGCAAUAGGUGACCUCGCCAAACCUUCACAAAAAGCACCAAGUAUCCCACCAGGGAUGGGAAUCAGUGGUCCGUGUUUAGUUGGGCCAUAGAACAGGUGUUUUAAGGUUCUAGACACAAGAAAGUUUUCCCCUUGAGAAAAGACUGCUGCAGGCUGAUAGGUAGUCUGUUGUCUCUCUGGAUACUGUGGUGUCUCUGGAUACUGUGGUCUCUCUGGAUACUGUGGUCUCUCUGGAUAUUGUGGUCUCUGGAUAUUGUGGUCUUUCUGGAUAUUGUGCUCUCUGGAUACUGUGGUCUCAGGUGCUCUGGCAACCAUACAGAUCACAUUCUGUGAUCUGGCAUUCACUCUGACCUUCCUGUUGCUGAGAACGGCCGUACACACACACACACACACACACACACACACACACACACACACACACACACACACACACACACACACACACACACACACACACACACACACACACACACACACACACACACACACACACACACACACACAAACACUCCUCAAACAGACCGAAACCAGCCGUAGGUACACUGGGGUGUGUCCCAGGAUGUGGUGAGGCUGCAGGUGUGAGUGGGUUUGGCAUGCUGCAGCACUGACAAUAGACCCACAUUGUGCCUGUUUGUUAUCGCUUCUCGUGUCACUGCUGUUGUUUUGUAUUUUUCUGUGUCUUUUUAUUUUUUUAUUUUUUACAAACAUGACCUGGCUGGGCAAAGUGUUAAAACGGCCACCACACAAAAACAAAGCUGAAACCCUCUAUAAUGAGGCCAUGGGAAAACACAGUGCUUUUGUAGGCUGGUGCAGGGCCACCUGCCCAGCUGCUGUAUGGGCUGCUUUGUGAGGUGACUGGACCUCAACAAUGUGCACAAAGCCCCACCCUCCAUACAAACCCUGGGAACAGACAACAGGUGUUUAGUCCUGGCCAGUCGCCUGCAUCAUGGGUACAUAGUACAUAGUACAUAGCACCCAGCACACA
Non-coding RNA from Salmo salar (Atlantic salmon), 4977 nucleotides. The record is from RefSeq and is a predicted model, not a curated record. Lineage: Eukaryota; Metazoa; Chordata; Actinopteri; Salmoniformes; Salmonidae.